Molecule: non-coding RNA, 30 nt
Filed under: Rattus norvegicus (Norway rat)
Lineage: Eukaryota; Metazoa; Chordata; Mammalia; Rodentia; Muridae
Source: RNAcentral
UGGCAUUGGGAAUGUUUACACAAGCCAGGA